RNAcentral lists this ribosomal RNA (237 nucleotides) under Triticum aestivum (bread wheat). Its description in RNAcentral is "partial small subunit ribosomal RNA". Lineage: Eukaryota; Viridiplantae; Streptophyta; Magnoliopsida; Poales; Poaceae. The record is from RNAcentral.
AUGUGUGUCCCAAAAGACCAAGGAGGUAUGGGUUUCCGAGAUAUACAUUGCUUCAAUCUGGCUUUGUUAGCCAAACAAAUGCGGCGUCUGAUUGAUAACCCUGAGUCUUUAUGUGCUAUUAUCUUGAAAGCAAAAUAUUUUCUGGAGGGGGAUCUAGUGAAUGCAAGUUUUAAAAAGGGGUCCUCCUUUAUUUGGCAAAGUAUUAUGGCAGGUGUAAAUUCUCUCAAAAGUGGUUAG